This 290-nucleotide ribosomal RNA is filed under the name uncultured bacterium. RNAcentral describes it as "partial 16S ribosomal RNA". It matches the Rfam family "Bacterial small subunit ribosomal RNA", at positions 335 to 642 of the family's 1533-position model. The record is from RNAcentral.
GCCCCUACGGGGGGCAGCAGUGGGGAAUAUUGCGCAAUGGGGGAAACCCUGACGCAGCAACGCCGCGUGCGGGAUGAAGGCUUUCGGGUUGUAAACCGCUUUCAGCAGGGAAGAUAAUGACGGUACCUGACUAAGAAGCCCCGGCUAACUACGUGCCAGCAGCCGCGGUAAUACGUAGGGGGCAAGCGUUAUCCGGAUUUACUGGGUGUAAAGGGAGCGUAGACGGCAGAGCAAGUCUGAAGUGAAAGCCCGCGGCCCAACUGCGGGACUGCUUUGGAAACUGCCCGGCU